CCAAAGGCUCUUUUAAGAGCCGCACACUUAAACUGUAAAAGAGCUG
Taeniopygia guttata (zebra finch) is the source of this 46-nucleotide non-coding RNA. The record is from Rfam. NCBI's taxonomy places the organism in Eukaryota, Metazoa, Chordata, Aves, Passeriformes, Estrildidae.